GCCUGCAUGAAGCCGGAAUCGCUAGUAAUCGCGGAUGAGAAUGCCGCGGUGAAUACGUUCCCGGGUCUUGUACACACCGCCCGUCACACCAUGGGAGUCGGGAAUGCCCGAAGUCAGUGGCCCAACCGGAAGGGGGAGCUGCCGAAGGCAGGCCCGGUGACUGGGGUGAAGUCGUAACAAGGUAAC
Molecule: ribosomal RNA, 186 nt
Filed under: uncultured bacterium
Lineage: Bacteria
Description: partial 16S ribosomal RNA
Rfam family: Bacterial small subunit ribosomal RNA
Source: RNAcentral